UAAGUUAGAAAGGGCGCACGGUGGAUGCCUUGACACUAGGAGUCGAUGAAGGACGGGACUAACGCCGAUAUGCUUCGGGGAGCUGUAAGUAAGCUUUGAUCCGAAGAUUUCCGAAUGGGGAAACCCACCAUACGUAAUGGUAUGGUAUCCUUAUCUGAAUACAUAGGGUAAGGAAGACAGACCCAGGGAACUGAAACAUCUAAGUACCUGGAGGAAGAGAAAGCAAAUGCGAUUUCCUGAGUAGCGGCGAGCGAAACGGAACAUAGCCCAAACCAAGAGGCUUGCCUCUUGGGGUUGUAGGACAUUCUAUACGGAGUUACAAAGGAACGAGGUAGACGAAGCGACCUGGAAAGGUCCGUCGUAGAGGGUAACAACCCCGUAGUCGAAACUUCGUUCUCUCUUGAAUGUAUCCUGAGUACGGCGGAACACGUGAAAUUCCGUCGGAAUCUGGGAGGACCAUCUCCCAAGGCUAAAUACUCCCUAGUGAUCGAUAGUGAACCAGUACCGUGAGGGAAAGGUGAAAAGCACCCCGGAAGGGGAGUGAAAGAGAUCCUGAAACCGUGUGCCUACAAAUAGUCAGAGCCCGUUAACGGGUGAUGGCGUGCCUUUUGUAGAAUGAACCGGCGAGUUACGAUCCCGUGCGAGGUUAAGCUGAAGAGGCGGAGCCGCAGCGAAAGCGAGUCUGAAUAGGGCGUUUAGUACGUGGUCGUAGACCCGAAACCAGGUGAUCUACCCAUGUCCAGGGUGAAGUUCAGGUAACACUGAAUGGAGGCCCGAACCCACGCACGUUGAAAAGUGCGGGGAUGAGGUGUGGGUAGCGGAGAAAUUCCAAUCGAACCUGGAGAUAGCUGGUUCUCCCCGAAAUAGCUUUAGGGCUAGCCUUAAGUGUAAGAGUCUUGGAGGUAGAGCACUGAUUGGACUAGGGGUCCUCAUCGGAUUACCGAAUUCAGUCAAACUCCGAAUGCCAAUGACUUAUCCUUAGGAGUCAGACUGCGAGUGAUAAGAUCCGUAGUCAAAAGGGAAACAGCCCAGACCGCCAGCUAAGGUCCCAAAGUGUGUAUUAAGUGGAAAAGGAUGUGGAGUUGCUUAGACAACUAGGAUGUUGGCUUAGAAGCAGCCACCAUUUAAAGAGUGCGUAAUAGCUCACUAGUCGAGUGACUCUGCGCCGAAAAUGUACCGGGGCUAAAUACACCACCGAAGCUGCGGAUUGAUACCAAUGGUAUCAGUGGUAGGGGAGCGUUCUAAGGACAGUGAAGUCAGACCGUAAGGACUGGUGGAGUGCUUAGAAGUGAGAAUGCCGGUAUGAGUAGCGAAAGACGGGUGAGAAUCCCGUCCACCGAAUGCCUAAGGUUUCCUGAGGAAGGCUCGUCCGCUCAGGGUUAGUCAGGACCUAAGCCGAGGCCGACAGGCGUAGGCGAUGGACAACAGGUUGAUAUUCCUGUACCACCUCUUUAUCGUUUGAGCAAUGGAGGGACGCAGAAGGAUAGAAGAAGCGUGCGAUUGGUUGUGCACGUCCAAGCAGUUAGGCUGAUAAGUAGGCAAAUCCGCUUAUCGUGAAGGCUGAGCUGUGAUGGGGAAGCUCCUUAUGGAGCGAAGUCUUUGAUUCCCCGCUGCCAAGAAAAGCUUCUAGCGAGAUAAAAGGUGCCUGUACCGCAAACCGACACAGGUAGGCGAGGAGAGAAUCCUAAGGUGUGCGAGAGAACUCUGGUUAAGGAACUCGGCAAAAUGACCCCGUAACUUCGGGAGAAGGGGUGCUUUCUUAACGGAAAGCCGCAGUGAAUAGGCCCAAGCGACUGUUUAGCAAAAACACAGCUCUCUGCGAAGCCGUAAGGCGAAGUAUAGGGGGUGACACCUGCCCGGUGCUGGAAGGUUAAGGAGAGGGGUUAGCGUAAGCGAAGCUCUGAACUGAAGCCCCAGUAAACGGCGGCCGUAACUAUAACGGUCCUAAGGUAGCGAAAUUCCUUGUCGGGUAAGUUCCGACCCGCACGAAAGGUGUAACGAUUUGGGCACUGUCUCAACCAGAGACUCGGUGAAAUUAUAGUACCUGUGAAGAUGCAGGUUACCCGCGACAGGACGGAAAGACCCCGUGGAGCUUUACUGUAGCCUGAUAUUGAAUUUUGGUACAGUUUGUACAGGAUAGGCGGGAGCCAUUGAAACCGGAGCGCUAGCUUCGGUGGAGGCGCUGGUGGGAUACCGCCCUGACUGUAUUGAAAUUCUAACCUACGGGUCUUAUCGACCCGGGAGACAGUGUCAGGUGGGCAGUUUGACUGGGGCGGUCGCCUCCUAAAGUGUAACGGAGGCGCCCAAAGGUUCCCUCAGAAUGGUUGGAAAUCAUUCGUAGAGUGCAAAGGCAUAAGGGAGCUUGACUGCGAGACCUACAAGUCGAGCAGGGACGAAAGUCGGGCUUAGUGAUCCGGUGGUUCCGCAUGGAAGGGCCAUCGCUCAACGGAUAAAAGCUACCCCGGGGAUAACAGGCUUAUCUCCCCCAAGAGUCCACAUCGACGGGGAGGUUUGGCACCUCGAUGUCGGCUCAUCGCAUCCUGGGGCUGUAGUCGGUCCCAAGGGUUGGGCUGUUCGCCCAUUAAAGCGGUACGCGAGCUGGGUUCAGAACGUCGUGAGACAGUUCGGUCCCUAUCCGUCGUGGGCGUAGGAAAUUUGAGAGGAGCUGUCCUUAGUACGAGAGGACCGGGAUGGACGCACCGCUGGUGUACCAGUUGUUCUGCCAAGGGCAUAGCUGGGUAGCUAUGUGCGGAAGGGAUAAGUGCUGAAAGCAUCUAAGCAUGAAGCCCCCCUCAAGAUGAGAUUUCCCAUAGCGUAAGCUAGUAAGAUCCCUGAAAGAUGAUCAGGUUGAUAGGUUCGAGGUGGAAGCAUGGUGACAUGUGGAGCUGACGAAUACUAAUAGAUCGAGGACUUAACCA
RNAcentral lists this ribosomal RNA (2918 nucleotides) under Bacillus thuringiensis serovar kurstaki. RNAcentral describes it as "bacterial LSU rRNA". It matches the Rfam family "Bacterial large subunit ribosomal RNA". The record is from RNAcentral. Lineage: Bacteria; Bacillati; Bacillota; Bacilli; Caryophanales; Bacillaceae. RNAcentral also lists the same sequence under 1 other name.